Molecule: unclassified non-coding RNA, 245 nt
Filed under: uncultured Sordariales
Lineage: Eukaryota; Fungi; Ascomycota; Sordariomycetes; Sordariales
Description: sequence contains 5.8S rRNA gene, ITS2, 28S rRNA gene
Rfam family: 5.8S ribosomal RNA (bases 1-52)
Source: RNAcentral
AACGCACAUUGCGCUCGCCAGUAUUCUGGCGAGCAUGCCUGUUCGAGCGUCAUUUCAACCAUCAAGCUCUGCUUGCGUUGGGGAUCCGCGGCUGCCCGCGGUCCCUUAAAAACAGUGGCGGGCUCGCUAGUCACACCGAGCGUAGUAACUCUACAUCGCUAUGGUCGUGCGGCGGGUUCUUGCCGUAAAACCCCCCAAUUUCUAAGGUUGACCUCGGAUCAGGUAGGAGUACCCGCUGAACUUAA